AAAGGGAGACCUAAUUCAGGUAGGAGACGAAAAAAAGUAGUCCCUACCAAGAAUCAAUCCCAAAAGGUCGGAGCGAGGCAAAAUUGGCUUUCAAACUAGGUUCUGGGUUCACACAAGACCUGAAUCAGGAACAAGGGCUAUUAGCUCAGGUGGUUAGAGCGCACCCCUGAUAAGGGUGAGGUCCCUGGUUCGAGUCCAGGAUGGCCCACCUGCACAGGUGGCAAAAACAAGAGAAACGAGGAAUCAGCACCUUAUCUUACUUACAUAGUAAGAGAGAAUGCUGGCUCUGAGUAAAGAGUCCAGAAGAACCUUGAAAACUGCAUAGAGCUAGGUGAAAAAGCCAAAAAAGAAGACCGCAAG
RNAcentral lists this transfer RNA (360 nucleotides) under uncultured Microcystis sp. RNAcentral's name for it is "partial 16S-23S ribosomal RNA intergenic spacer". The stretch from base 135 to 208 matches the Rfam family "tRNA". Lineage: Bacteria; Bacillati; Cyanobacteriota; Cyanophyceae; Chroococcales; Microcystaceae. The record is from RNAcentral.